GAGCGUGUUUAAUCAACGCGCGGAGAAGACGCUGCGGGGCGUCCGCAUUCGGACUGUCGGCCCUGUCGUUGCAACCCUUUCAAGGCGGCUGCAACACCCCGCCAUAAAUAACGGGGCGUUCUGGAGCCACGGGGGGAUGACGACGCUGUGUCCUCUCCGUUUGAUUCUCAAACGGCUACGGGUUCUCAAUGAACUCGUGCACGCAACGCCUCGUCGCCGUGUAAUUUAUGAACUACGCGAUGCCACGACGAGUAUCUGAAUUCGAGGGCAUCGCUUGCAUCGGGGCAGCUUUACAUCGAGCGCGAGUUUAUCCUGCGAAAUAAACCAGUAAAUUUCCUCCAUCGAACUACAGUAUCAGCUUUGAAAUGUGAGUGAAGAUAAAUAUGCAUCGAGUCUGUCGCCACACAGUGGUGUCACGGUAUAACUAUAUUCACGGGACGGUAGGUAAGAAACACCGUAGUAGACAAUGGGACCGCGAAGUUACCACACCGGCCAUUGUCUUUGCCGCGUCGCUUCGAUUUUUACGAGUAUCAACGCGAAUUGAUUUCACGUGAAACUGGCAUCACGCUUCGCGAGACCUGGACGCGGAUACUUGUGGGCGCUUCUGUAAAUGGUUCAAAAAACUUACAGGUCUCGAGUCCUAAUAACUCAACGACUCGUCAGGGUCCAGCACCGAGUGAACGAAACUCCGGGAGGUUAAAAUCCUCGGCAACCGAUUCGAAGCAGGCGAUGUUCGGGGCGGAGCGCAAAAAAGACACUCUAGCAAGAUGCUAAUUGCCCGGGAUGAUUAGCCCAGCGUACCACCGGGCCGUGCAACGGUCGGUGAAAGAAGAUAAUGCGUAAAUCAAUCAACGAGCCCUACGACCGUUUCGACGACAAAGCCCGGGAUAAUUGGAGUAGCGACAAGUUGAUCAGGCGCGGCUUCUUUCACGACGCGACGCGGAAUGGAGCGGAUCAGAUUCUGCUCGUCUACCCGGCUCACUGGAGAGUCCUGUCGGAGCCCUUAGUCAUCGAGAGACCGCAUCGCGAGCGUGCCUUAUGGGGACUAAAAGAAAAGAGCGCAUCACGGUGUCCCGCCACCCUGACCACCUGAUUAUUUAUUCGAGCGCAGUGACCUCGUUUGGGGCAACGUUUCGCUAUCGUUAUUAUUUUUUUAAAUUCUUCUCCCUCCUCGUGGAAGAAGAGGGACGAGACAUAGAGUGGCCUUGGUCUCGGGGAUGGGGAACCUGCGACGACGAGGACGAAGGAACUUUUUUAGAUUUUUUUAGGAACUUUGUGAACACGUGGCUAUUGUAAAUUCUAUAGUGUCAUUUAAAUUAGACGGGGAAGGGGCAAAUAGAUUCGUCGAUAUAUGAUUAACCCUUUCAGACCUGAAUUAUUCUUUUUUCUCGUACUAAUGUAUCAAUUUAAUUUUUAGAGUUGGAAAGAAUUUUUAAAAAAAUUUUAAUAAUGGCGUGGUUUUCGAGGAAAACUGGUGUUUCUUCAUGUGCGCAAAUAAGGACAUUCGUCCUAAACGACAGUUCGUCGUAGUAAUUUUGUGUCCUCAAUUGUGGACGCCAGGUCUGAAAGGGCUAAUUUCCUAUUUCAAUCGUUGUCUUUAGAAAUUAAUUUCUCUGAGUGCUUCGUAAACCCAGACUGAAGUCUUCCGAUUCCGCACCCAGAUGGAUCCCCACCUAAAAAAUGACAUCCUCCUUAAAAAAAACAAUACGUAAACCACACCAUGAACCUAAAAUAUCCAAGUACCUCCUAACAAUACUAAUUCCACUCAACCUAAUCGUAGGCCAUUAACCUGGACACCGAGACACUUCAAUUUCCUGUUGUUCAGAGAUGGCCACCCAAGUCAUCGCAGAGCCACCCUCAAGUUGCGAGCAGACAGUCCUAAUCGCAGGUAUUCACAUUACGUCGUCCAAGCUCUGCAUCUCUUUGCGAUUGUUCAGAGACACCGGACGGAUACGCGACUCGAGUCGCUCGAGCAGCGAGCGACGGUAGCGGCGAUUUCAACGCUCAUUGCGACUCAACCGGUGGAAAUCCGGCGGAACGCGCCAUUACCGUGAACGUAAGCGUUUCGUCCCGUAGAAACGGGAAGAGCAUUGUUGCGAAAAGCCGAGCUUGGGCAACAGCGUCGAGAGCUGGGUUCGGUUCGGGUUUUACAAAAUCGUCGAGAGUCGGUCGUCCUGGCGUUCGCGGUUGCCUCAAAAGGCAACGGUGAGUCCUCGAGUGUUCGAUGCGCCGGAUUAUUGGCUGAAUAUUGCUCAUUGUUCCGGUGUCGAAACAUCGGGACGUAGUAGUUACCCUGACGCGCACCCACGUCGAAACGCCAGCCAGGGUUUCUCAAAUUUUACAUUUCAGACGAAAUUACCGGUAGAUAUUACCGAAAAAUAUUCUAUGACGGGCUAUUCCCGGGUGCUAUGGAUAUAAUAGUAAAUUACAGUGAAAUUAAAGCGAUGUACAGGAUGAAUCAAUCAAGAUCAUCCGAAGGUCGAUAUAAUAUGCUCUUUUGAGCACUUCUUGGUUAUCUAAAUUGUAUCGCUAUAUACCACCCCUAUAGCCACUAUCGCUAUAGCCACCCCUUGCUGCGUUACUCGUUCCUGAUUUUGCAAUUACAAACGAUUCCUCCACUCAAGAUAUCUAAGAAUCCAAAGGGGAUGCAAAUGGAAGGUUCCAUAGCAAAAACUCGCGAAUCACCGCUAACACUCUCUGACUGACGGACUCCGGCCUGAGAAACCCUGCUCGCGAGGAAUUACAAAAUCCUCGUUGGUUUGAAUGGAAACGCGUCAUCGGUAUCGUUACUUUCCAUUGUGUUCGAUCAAUUGUUCGAGAAAUCCGCGAGCGUUCCUCGAAAGUCGGGACGGGGGGUGGGGCGGGGGACGAGUAACCGACAGCAGGGUGAAAGGAUUCCUCUCGGUACGUCGAGGCCUACGGCAGCCAGUAAUGUUGAUUGCGCGGAAUUCCGUAUCGGCUUCUCUCCUCUCCUCGUCGAUGAGGGUUCUUGUCGACGCGCGACUCCGCGUUUCACCGUGUCCACCGGUACCCGACUUCUCUCGCCGGGAUGCUCGGUUCGCUUCUUCCGUCGCGGAUCGAAUCGCGAUCGGAUGUCUGUUACCGAUGUCAAUCUCCUUUUUUGCGCUUACGUCGAGACGAAAAUCGGGGGACGCGAGCAGACUCGACGAGACUCUCUUCGAAGAGCUCCCACGUUUCAUUUCGCGCGCUUUUUUCCCGUGUAAUGCAGAUCGCGCGAUCGUGCAUUUUCUUAGGGUCAUUCUAAUCGAUUUUCGUUUCUCUGCUGUAGUACCUACAGGGUAUGGCACGUUUUUGUCUGAAUAUACAACGUAUAAAAAACGUUGGUACGUAUGUACAUCUGACCAUCACGGCUGAACCAUUGAAACUAUCCACCUUAUAUUCGCACCAUAUAUUAGUCCAGUGAUUUGGGUUGUUUUUGUUUGCGUUAGACUACCCCUAGGUUCUACACGGGGCACAGUUAGUUAUUAAUAAUUUCUUCAAUCUUAAAUAUUUUCAAAAGUUUUGGGUUUAAUUUGAAGCUGAGGCUUUAGUAGCUCUUGGUGGUAUCGGUCGUCCUAAUUUGUAAUCGAAAUGACCUACAAGGAGCUCGAGGUACCUCGGGUUCGCCAAACCCGUACUGCAGCAGUAACCAAGUACGGCUACAGUCCCUGAGGGCAGAACACAUGACAAGUUUGUCUAUUAAGAUGUUUCACUGUCAACGACGUAGCAUACCGAGCAAACCUAGAAUAUCAACCUAGAAAGCUUUCCAGCCAACCUUACUAGAACACCGUGAUUUGGUUCCUCGUACACCCGCUAAAUUUCACGAAAUUUCGUCAUAUUUCCGAUCAAAAUCUCGCACGACAAGAUCCUAAUCGAGACGAUAGCCUCAAGUGACACGUAUUCCGAAAAAAGGUACAGGUGACCGAAGGUGGACAAAUAAUUAUGCAAAUAGGCGAACGAUAGGAUCAGAAGGAAUGAACGGCGCCGAUCGAACGACCCAUUAAUAUCUACAUUCCAUCGGCUUGCUUCGUAGUCUCACGGACUUAAUUUCGUCGGAAUAAUGGAAUUCCCAGCGCCAAAAUUUAUGGAGACACGCCGCGCCACGGAAACGCUUUCUACGGCGUUUCUGUCGCGCGUAAGCACGCGCAUAAAUCCCGCCACUUUUUUUUUCAACGUCGACGGGAGUAAAUUUCAGUCCGCCCGUGAAUUAUCUAAUUUUGCUUAUCUUCGCGAAAACGUCCCUAGAAAGUACGAACCGCUCGCCAUCUUGGGGCGCGGAGCGCUGUUUACGCUCAAUCUGGUAUCGCGAUCGUGAGAAACUUUAUUAUUUGGUUGGCGAGUGCUCGCGGAACUCGAGAAUUAGUUAUGUAAAUUGGUAGAAAUUACGGAGAAUAUUAUCCUCCAUUUUUAUUCUACUUCACUUGUUUCUGCAUAGAAUCUCGGUAUCUAUUUAUUUAUCGAAUCGAUAAAUGCACAUUUUUAUACAAAUCGUGUAUGAUUGAUACAAACAUGAAAAAAGCAAAGAACAAAGAUAACUCUGAAUUUCUAACUCCGAAAGAUUAUCGUAACCAUUUCUUGUCGUAGCAUAGUAGACGUUUGCACAGGUAAACGGCUUUCGGACCUAAGGCAUCUUUUUUUAAGUAUUCGAACCACUGUGCGAUUUCGAGAGAGGGCCGCACGCACACAUCCUCGCGUGCCCCAGCGUGUUUUAUUACCGUGAACCGUCGGCAUUCUUCUUUUCUUUCCUCCUUUCCACGGCCUCGCGACUGGCCACACUUGAUCUGGACGCGUGCGUGGCUUUCCCUCCUCCUUACCUCGUCACGUUAUCUCACGAUUACGCUCGAUCUCUUUUUACUCGCUCGCCGCCCUUCGACGCUCCAUGCUUUAUUAUUCAUCAAGAAAACACCUCUGCCAUCGCGAAGCUAUCUUUAAUUGUGACCAUUACAAUUUUGCACACAUUCGUCAUUUUAGUGGAACACAGCUUGUCCACAUGGAUACCGAUUUCUUCUGUUUCUGUAACAAUUUCGUUCUGGCCAACCAUGUACCUUUCAUAAAUAAAUACUUCGCUUACUAUAACUGUCGCCAACUACCAUCAACCGUGAGCUAGAAGACGAGCAACGUUGAGAGGCACUGGGCAAACCAAACUCAUUCGCUAGUGUAUCGGUUUAAACAAACGCAACCAAGAUUCCCAGCAACGAGGAUUUCAAACGCGACCCUAACCGCUCAACACCUUCCCCGAAUAAACCACUUGCCGAGAGUCAGCGGACCAAGCACGGAUUACUAGGAAACACCGGUAGUUAAUUCGAGUCCUCGGGCGAUCGUAUCGAUAAUAGAGGAUCCAGCAGAAGGUGUGAUAGCAGGACCUAACGAAGAGCAAGAAAAGCAGGAAGAAGCGGUGUCACGAGGGGGACGGUCCUUCUUCGCUCGGAACACCACGGUACUCGGAGAAACGAGCGGCCAGGAGGCACCGAACGAACCAGGAGACGAGGACGAGACAACGGGAGAGGAAGAGGGAACCUUCGUUGACGAUCUUGCCCGGCGUUUCUCGCGCACGCGGGCUGAGAGUACGCGUCGUGGAUACUCUGUGGCCCGGGAAAUCCUUCCUCCUUGCGCACCUGCGAACAACCAGGGCGUGGAAGAGGAACCUCCGCGACGAGAAAAAGUGAUCGGUUACCCUUGGAUUGGAUCCGUGCCCACGGAUUGGUUACGCGUGGCUUCACCGCUCGGAGGGAUGAGGAACGAUAAUCGCGGGCACGUUAAAGUAACGAAGAAGAGUAGCUGGAAAGACUAACGAGGAAAUAUGUACACGAAC
Molecule: long non-coding RNA, 5812 nt
Organism: Hylaeus volcanicus
Lineage: Eukaryota; Metazoa; Arthropoda; Insecta; Hymenoptera; Colletidae
Exons: 5
Source: RefSeq, a predicted model, not a curated record